CCUACGGGAGGCAGCAGUGGGGAAUAUUGCACAAUGGGGGAAACCCUGAUGCAGCGACGCCGCGUGAGUGAAUAAGUAAUUCGUUACGUAAAGCUCUAUCAGCAGGGAAGAAAAUGACGGUACCUGAGCAAGAAGCCCCGGCUAACUAUGUGCCAGCAGCCGCGGUAAUACGUAGGGGGCAAGCGUUAUCCGGAUUUACUGGGUGUAAAGGGAGCGUAGACGGUGCGGCAAGUCUGGAGUGAAAUGCCGCAGCUUAACUGCGGAACGGCUUUGGAAACUGGCGGACUAGAGUGCGGGAGGGGUAAGCGGAAUUCCUGGUGUAGCAGUGAAAUGCGUAGAUAUUAGGAGGAACACCGGUGGCGAAGGCGGCUUACUGGACCGUAACUGACGUUGAGGCUCGAAAGCGAGGGGAGCGAAAGGGAUUAGAUACCCUUGUAGUC
This 440-nucleotide ribosomal RNA is filed under the name uncultured bacterium. RNAcentral's name for it is "partial 16S ribosomal RNA". It matches the Rfam family "Bacterial small subunit ribosomal RNA", at positions 338 to 795 of the family's 1533-position model. The record is from RNAcentral.